UUGACCUCGGAUCAGGUAGGAUUACCCGCUGAACUUAAGCAUAUCAAUAAGCGGAGGAAAAGAAACCAACAGGGAUUGCCCCAGUAACGGCGAGUGAAGCGGCAACAGCUCAAAUUUGAAA
This 121-nucleotide ribosomal RNA is filed under the name Ophiostoma piceae. Its description in RNAcentral is "partial 28S ribosomal RNA". It matches the Rfam family "Eukaryotic large subunit ribosomal RNA", at positions 1 to 120 of the family's 3401-position model. Lineage: Eukaryota; Fungi; Ascomycota; Sordariomycetes; Ophiostomatales; Ophiostomataceae. The record is from RNAcentral.